RNAcentral lists this ribosomal RNA (306 nucleotides) under uncultured bacterium. RNAcentral describes it as "partial 16S ribosomal RNA". It matches the Rfam family "Bacterial small subunit ribosomal RNA", at positions 355 to 653 of the family's 1533-position model. The record is from RNAcentral.
UAGGGAAUCUUCCACAAUGGACGCAAGUCUGAUGGAGCAACGCCGCGUGAGUGAAGAAGGUUUUCGGACCGUAAAGCUCUGUUGUUGGUGAAGAAGGAUAGAGGUAGUAACUGGCCUUUAUUUGACGGUAAUCAACCAGAAAGUCACGGCUAACUACGUGCCAGCAGCCGCGGUAAUACGUAGGUGGCAAGCGUUGUCCGGAUUUAUUGGGCGUAAAGCGAGCGCAGGCGGAAGAAUAAGUCUGAUGUGAAAGCCCUCGGCUUAACCGAGGAAUUGCAUCGGAAACUGUUUUUCUUGAGUGCAGAA